CCCUUAGAUGUUCUGGGCCGCACGCGCGCUACACUGACUGACUCAACGAGUGUACAACCUGCUUCGACAGAAGUGGGUAAUCUUUUGAAAUUCAGUCGUGAUGGGGCUAGAUUAUUGCAACUAUUAAUCUUCAACGAGGAAUGCCUAGUAAGCGCGAAUCAUCAGUUCGCGUUGAUUACGUCCCUGCCCUUUGUACACACCGCCCGUCGCACCUACCGAUUGAAUGGUCCGGUGAAAUCCUCGGAUCGAGCCGUGGGGCAACUCCGGUUCGAGAAGUUGAUUAAACCUUACCAUUUAGAGGAAGGUGAAGUCGUAACA
This 318-nucleotide ribosomal RNA is filed under the name uncultured eukaryote. RNAcentral describes it as "partial 18S ribosomal RNA". It matches the Rfam family "Eukaryotic small subunit ribosomal RNA", at positions 1470 to 1796 of the family's 1831-position model. The record is from RNAcentral.